Non-coding RNA from Drosophila suzukii, 1318 nucleotides. NCBI's taxonomy places the organism in Eukaryota, Metazoa, Arthropoda, Insecta, Diptera, Drosophilidae. The record is from RefSeq and is a predicted model, not a curated record.
UGAUAGAAUAAGAAGAACCUUUUCAAGUUUGGAAAAAUCCUGAGCUACUUUUAUGCUGUUCCUUAUUUUGGUUCUAUAUUCAUUAUAAUUGUCCACAUCUUCGCUGUAAUCAAACUGUGCAGAUAUGUGGAAGAACGCUGGGGAUAGCUGUCUAAAGAUUUCAGAUUUCAGUUUUUAUUCGGAGUUAAACCUUUAUUGAUUAUAUAAUCCACGAGAUCUAUACAAAUUAACCAGUUUUCAAUCAAGUUACGGCAAUUGUACAUUUUACUUGGAAUAUCCCCUGACGGCGUGGAAUGCGGCUAUGAUGAAAUUAAAAGUGUACGGAUUUCAGAUGUUAAAUCGGUUUAUCCAAAUUAUAUUGUGUCUAGUAAAAAUCGUGUGUUAAGCAUUACUUGACUAUAAAAUACAAGGGGAAAUAAACAUCGUGUAUUAUACAGAUGGCUUAAUAUACCAGCACAACACUGUUUAAUUGAUACCCCUUAAUAAUCGGAAACCUAAGUGGGCUGUUCUCCCAAAGAAUUAGCGGUGGCUUUUAUUCUUUCAGAUUGUCUAACAUGUUUGAGCUUGGAAGCUGAGGAAGCUGCGAGAUCCGAUUAACAACAUUCAACGGAUUUGGGACAUUCGUCCCAAUCUCAACCGAAACUCGCCACAUACCCCUUCGAUAAUGUACAGUACACCGAAGAUCUUGGGACUGAUGAAAAAAAGCUUCGUUUACCAAAGACCAAAGUUUGAGAGAUAGUUUUUGAACACAAGACCCAAAAAAGCAUUUUGUUGCGCCUUAACUGAACGUGCAGUUAAGAAUCUAAUCUUUAAAAUUCCAUUACCAAUAUGCAGUCCAACUUUUGUAAUCCUAGUUCACUGGUGAAAAAUAAGUUUGAGUGGCAGUACAGAAAAAAGUACGCAUUUACAUGAUAUAGAGUUACGGAAAAUAUACAUAUCGUUUCAAAUUCGACUCAACAAUGUGCAAUUUAUCUCCGGAUUGUUGCGCCUAGUCCAAUCCAAUAUGGUGCGUCGUACAUUCACAUUCUUCUACGGGUACCGAACCGUCAUGGCAGUUUUUGGUGUUCUUAAUGCCAUAUCAGGCUUCUCAUAUUUCGUUGCUGCAUUAUUGCUGCGGUUUGGUGUUGAAAACCCAAGCUAAGACAAGUAGCAUUUUAAGACAAAUAAUUUAUCACUAUCUUAUAAUAGGGCAAUAAGACAAUUGUUUAUGACUGGAAAAGCCUUAAGCUACGUUGAUGCUAUUAUGGGAGUUUUUUCAUAUAUCCACCAGGUUAGUCACUCCUCUGGCGUAUGCAUUGUAUAGAUUUGUUUCAGAGUA